Molecule: long non-coding RNA, 1267 nt
Filed under: Sinocyclocheilus anshuiensis
Lineage: Eukaryota; Metazoa; Chordata; Actinopteri; Cypriniformes; Cyprinidae
Description: lncRNA (ENSSANG00000040623.1)
Source: RNAcentral
UGAAGUAAGAAAUACAGAGGUUAAAUUUUGUGUGACAUAUAUUGUCCCUUUUCUUAGGAUAUUCUGACCCGCUGUUGCUGGUGUUACUGAUCAUUGUGACCUUAUUGGGUGGUCUUCUCUGUCUUCUUCUCAUCUGGUUCUGCAGACGGAGACUGCUUUGCCGCCAAGCCAAAAUCUGGCAUGUUGGCAAACAUCCAAAAUUUCAGAUUCAACCAGCAGAUCAACCUAAUGAUGUAAUCAGCAUUCCCAGAGCAAUGGAAAGAAAUGGAACCUCUAUCAAAACUUUACCAGUGACCAGCUACCCACACAACGUCCUCAGUGGAGAUUUACAGAGCAUCAUGGCCCCCCUGAUAGCAAACGGAAACCCAAAAUUGAUGCAGGUGUUGCAGAAGGAGUCCUGGCCAGCACCGGUGCUGUACACUGUCAUAAGAGAGAUUCCCGUGACGCGCUGGAAGGAAUUUUUGCGACUGCUUUCUGUGUCAGAUGAUCAGAUGGAACGGAUCGAACUGGAGGCAGGCCCAUCCUAUCUGGAAAAGCAGUAUCAUAUGCUACGUCUGUGGAGCCAGAGCAGUGGAGCGAAGAUGGAGAAUAUCUACUCGACAUUACACUACAUGAACCUGUCAGGCUGUGCCCAGGAACUGCAAGAGAAGCUAGAACAACUGCAAGCAAGCAUGAAAGCUCACUCAUCUUGACUCCAUCUCCUCAUGUGUGUGAGCUGCAGUUGCAUUUCACAAUCAUUUACAGUUAACUCUGAACAGCAGAUGCUCUUGUCUUCUGAACUUUUAACAGGAAACCCGCAGUCAUAGUUAAAAAAUUCUUCUUUGUGAAUUGUUUUAUUUAAGUAUAAUGUAAAAUAAAUGCAGGUCAUUAUGCAUAUCAUAGGUGCUUUGUAAUAACUGUUUAUAAUCCUUGUUCUUGGUUAUAUGAAUUAGCCUUUUGUCACUAUACUGUACAAAUGUGGAUUUUCAAAGAAUUGUUGACCAAUUCAAAGUUUGAACUUAAAUGUUUAAAUGUUAUCAUCCAUCAACUUAAGGAGAUAUCUAGUGGUUUUCAGGAUAAACGUAGCUGCUUAUUUGUUUCACGCUAAAGGUUAUUUUAAGUUCUCAGUCAUAUUGUACAUGGGCAUGUUUUAAAUAUUACUUUACACUCACUGUGUACACUUGUCACACCAGUAUAUAUUUGUUACUUUUCUUAAUAAAAAUGUAUGGAAUAUGUAUGGCUCUUAACAGCAUCAUGUAGUAAAAAAAAAAAGGAAAGCAUGACAGAG